RNAcentral lists this ribosomal RNA (434 nucleotides) under Fusobacterium necrophorum. RNAcentral's name for it is "bacterial SSU rRNA". It matches the Rfam family "Bacterial small subunit ribosomal RNA", at positions 9 to 451 of the family's 1533-position model. Lineage: Bacteria; Fusobacteriati; Fusobacteriota; Fusobacteriia; Fusobacteriales; Fusobacteriaceae. The record is from RNAcentral.
GAGUUUGAUUCUGGCUCAGGAUGAACGCUGACAGAAUGCUUAACACAUGCAAGUCGACUCGAGUCUUCGGACUUGGGUGGCGCACGGGUGAGUAACGCGUAAAGAACUUGCCUCUUAGACCGGGACAACAUCUGGAAACGGAUGCUAAUACCGGAUAUUAUGGUUUUUUCGCAUGGAGGAAUCAUGAAAGCUGGAUGCGCUAAGAGAGAGCUUUGCGUCCCAUUAGCUGGUUGGUGAGGUAACGGCCCACCAAGGCAAUGAUGGGUAGCCGGCCUGAGAGGGUGAACGGCCACAAGGGGACUGAGACACGGCCCUUACUCCUACGGGAGGCAGCAGUGGGGAAUAUUGGACAAUGGACCACAAGUCUGAUCCAGCAAUUCUGUGUGCACGAUGACGUUUUUCGGAAUGUAAAGUGCUUUCAGUCGGGAAGAAGU